This 210-nucleotide ribosomal RNA is filed under the name uncultured bacterium. Its description in RNAcentral is "partial 16S ribosomal RNA". It matches the Rfam family "Bacterial small subunit ribosomal RNA", at positions 568 to 774 of the family's 1533-position model. The record is from RNAcentral.
CUCGUAGAUGGCCAACUAAAUCAGACGUGAAAUCCCUCAACUUAACCGAGGAACUGCGUCUGAUACUGGAUGGCUUGAGGGUUGGGGGGAGGGGACGCGGAAUUCCAGAUGUAGCGGUGAAAUGCGUAGAUAUCUGGAGGAACACCGGUGGCGAAGGCGGCGUCCUGGACCAAUUCUGACACUGAGGAGCGAAAGCCAGGGGAGCAAACG